GAUGAACGCUGGCGGCGUGCCUAAUACAUGCAAGUCGAGCGAACAGACGAGGAGCUUGCUCCUCUGACGUUAGCGGCGGACGGGUGAGUAACACGUGGAUAACCUACCUAUAAGACUGGGAUAACUUCGGGAAACCGGAGCUAAUACCGGAUAAUAUAUUGAACCGCAUGGUUCAAUAGUGAAAGACGGUUUUGCUGUCACUUAUAGAUGGAUCCGCGCCGCAUUAGCUAGUUGGUAAGGUAACGGCUUACCAAGGCGACGAUGCGUAGCCGACCUGAGAGGGGGAUCGGCCACACUGGAACUGAGACACGGUCCAGACUCCUACGGGAGGCAGCAGUAGGGAAUCUUCCGCAAUGGGCGAAAGCAUGACGGAGCAACGCCGCGUGAGUGAUGAAGGUCUUCGGAUCGUAAAACUCUGUUAUUAGGGAAGAACAAAUGUGUAAGUAACUAUGCACGUCUUGACGGUACCUAAUCAGAAAGCCACGGCUAACUACGUG
Molecule: ribosomal RNA, 497 nt
Filed under: uncultured bacterium
Lineage: Bacteria
Description: partial 16S ribosomal RNA
Rfam family: Bacterial small subunit ribosomal RNA
Source: RNAcentral